GGGAUUGGGAGCUUGCUCCCAUGAGGCUGGCGCACGGGUGAGUAACCCGUAUGCAACCUACCUGUAACUGGGGGAUAGCUCCCUGAAAGGGGAAUAAACACCCCAUAUGACCACUCCAUCUCCUGAUGGAGGGUUAAAAUACUUAUCGGUUUCGGAUGGGCAGGCGUGACAUUAGUUUGUUGGUGAGGUAACGGCUCACCAAGACAACGAUGUCUAGGGGGUCUGAGAGGAAGGUCCCCCACACUGGUACUGAGACUCGGACCAGACUCCUACGGGAGGCAGCAGUGAGGAAUUUUGGUCAAUGGACGCAAGCCUGAUCCAGCCAUGUCGCGUGCAGGACGACGGCCCUAGGGGUUUUAAACUGUUUUUGCACGGAAGAAAACCCGAGGCGCGUGGUCACUUGCCGGUACCGGUACGAGAAGGAUCGGCUAACUCCGUGCCCGCAGCCGCGGUAAUACGGAGGAUUACGAGCGUUA
This 476-nucleotide ribosomal RNA is filed under the name uncultured bacterium. RNAcentral describes it as "bacterial SSU rRNA". It matches the Rfam family "Bacterial small subunit ribosomal RNA", at positions 68 to 543 of the family's 1533-position model. The record is from RNAcentral.